CAAAAUACAUGAUAGGUACAUGUAGAAUCUAAAAUCUACUGCUAGAAAGAAGUAGACACCUCAUCAUAUAUCACUAAGACAUCAUCCUCUAACUUGCUACUGGCCGUCACUGCAGUAGCUCUCGUCUGAUCUCUUCAUUAUGGAUAAUCUCUGGCUAGAUAUCCUAACUCAUCGCAUUAAUAACAUCUGAUCUUACUCAAGUCUCUCAUUCUAAAUUUGGACCACUCUCGUUAUGAUC
This 238-nucleotide long non-coding RNA is filed under the name Elaeis guineensis (African oil palm). RNAcentral describes it as "long non-coding RNA (EGUI_LNC047486)". Lineage: Eukaryota; Viridiplantae; Streptophyta; Magnoliopsida; Arecales; Arecaceae. The record is from RNAcentral.